Mustela erminea (ermine) is the source of this 161-nucleotide long non-coding RNA. RefSeq lists it as uncharacterized. The transcript has 2 exons. NCBI's taxonomy places the organism in Eukaryota, Metazoa, Chordata, Mammalia, Carnivora, Mustelidae. The record is from RefSeq and is a predicted model, not a curated record.
GGAAAUGGGCGCGCGAUUGGCCAGGUCUGUUAAAGGGACCGUCGCCCACGGGGCUAGAGAGGGGCGGCGGCGGCGUUACUGUUAAAGAGUCCGGAUGGGAGGGAUGCAGAAACUGAAGCCCAGAGAGGACUGCUGACACGUCCAAGAUCACAAGACUAGCU